UUGUGUGAUGACUCUAAGGAAUAUGAGGUAAAUAACCUCUUCCCCCCCCCCUUUUUUUAAUAACUUAGGUCCAUUUAUGAACUAUAAGAAGGAUUCAGUAUGUGUCAUCAUUUUCAUAAAAGGAAGGAAAUCAGCAAAGUAGCCCAACUCUCUGGGGAAGAUGCAAUGUCAACAAUUAGGAAGAGCAAGCUUGAUCUAAAGGAUGCUGAGAUUGGAGCAAAGUAGAGGCUGAAGAAGGACAGGAUUCUCUGAGACUCUGUCAGAGGGACCAAAUGAGGUAGGAAUGAGAACAAGUGAGAGGAUAAGAGAAUGCUGGCAAGGCAAGAGGAU
RNAcentral lists this long non-coding RNA (330 nucleotides) under Canis lupus familiaris (dog). RNAcentral's name for it is "lncRNA (ENSCAFG00845015911.1)". Lineage: Eukaryota; Metazoa; Chordata; Mammalia; Carnivora; Canidae. The record is from RNAcentral.